Vicia villosa (hairy vetch) is the source of this 342-nucleotide long non-coding RNA. RefSeq lists it as uncharacterized. The record is from RefSeq and is a predicted model, not a curated record. The transcript has 2 exons. Lineage: Eukaryota; Viridiplantae; Streptophyta; Magnoliopsida; Fabales; Fabaceae.
GAAAGAAACAAGAAUAGAGGAGAAAGAGGCAAGACUAUGGAGAAGAAGAAGAAGCUUGGAGAUUUUCAUCAAUGGUGCCAAAUUGAAGAUGCAAAUAGAGACCCUUUGAGUUGCUUCCAUUGAUAAGGUAUUCAAGUAUGAAGAUUUAGUUGUCGUUACUCGAAUCGGUUGUCGCUCUGAUACGUAGCACUCUGGGGGGAACGAUUUAUGUCAUUUAUGAUGUUGUUGUUUAAUUGUGUUAUCUUGGUUGAACAAAAUGAUAAGUUAACUGAGGAUAUUUUAUUGAAUACAUUCUUAAGCGAUUCCGCUGUGUUUUAAUAAAAUAAGUUAUUCUGUUUCAAA